RNAcentral lists this ribosomal RNA (254 nucleotides) under uncultured bacterium. Its description in RNAcentral is "partial 16S ribosomal RNA". It matches the Rfam family "Bacterial small subunit ribosomal RNA", at positions 524 to 776 of the family's 1533-position model. The record is from RNAcentral.
UACGUAGGGCGCAAGCGUUGUCCGGAAUUACUGGGCGUAAAGAGCUCGUAGGUGGUCUGUCGCGUCAUUUGUGAAAGCCCGGGGCUUAACUCCGGGUUGGCAGGUGAUACGGGCAUGACUGGAGUACUGUAGGGGAGACUGGAAUUCCUGGUGUAGCGGUGAAAUGCGCAGAUAUCAGGAGGAACACCGGUGGCGAAGGCGGGUCUCUGGGCAGUAACUGACGCUGAGGAGCGAAAGCAUGGGUAGCGAACAGG